UCUCUGGUGGUCCAGUGGCUAAGACUCCCAGCUCCCAAUGCAGGGGGCCCAGGUUCGAUUUCUGGUCAGAGAA
This 73-nucleotide transfer RNA is filed under the name Ovis aries (sheep). It matches the Rfam family "tRNA". Rfam says of the family: Transfer RNA (tRNA) molecules are approximately 80 nucleotides in length. Lineage: Eukaryota; Metazoa; Chordata; Mammalia; Artiodactyla; Bovidae. The record is from Rfam by way of RNAcentral.